UCCUCAGCAGAGACCAGACCUGCCCUUUGCCUUUCAGCCCUGCAUCCGGCGAGUGUUCUCCACACCUCGGUGGAACAGGAAAGAAUCAAGCAUGCCAGAACCAAGGUCACCACUGUCUGGUUCCCCCUACACCAAGCUCAGGUGUCAUUUAAAGCCCCAUGGAACUUUGAAGAGCCCUGCACCACCUGUUUUACGGCUUCCCUCUUGGCUCGGUGGUAAGGGAUCUGCCUACAAUGCAGGAGACAUGGAUUUGAUCCCUGGGUGGAAGAUCACCUGGAGAAGGAAAUGGCAAUCGAUUCCAGUAUUCUUGCCUGGAAAAUCCCAUGAACAGAGGAGCCUGGCAGGCCACAGUCCAUGGAGUUGUAGUCAGAUGAGUGACUAAAUUGAAUGACUAAACAACAGCACCUGUUUUAAUGUGUACAUGUUGAUCUGAACCAGCUAAUUACUCCCUGCCCCCAGCCACAUUUCUUUUUUGGUAAACAUCAAUUUCUUAAUCUGUGAACCUGUUUCUCUUUUGUAAUAAAGUUCAUUGGUAUCCA
Long non-coding RNA from Bubalus bubalis (water buffalo), 539 nucleotides. RefSeq lists it as uncharacterized. The transcript is spliced from 3 exons. The record is from RefSeq and is a predicted model, not a curated record. Lineage: Eukaryota; Metazoa; Chordata; Mammalia; Artiodactyla; Bovidae.